GCAAAGCACUUUCUAGAACCUAUGUAUAACCUAAUAUCCGCAGGGAUAUAAUUAAUACGCAGUGUUGUGGCAUGCCAUAUUCAAUGCGGUAGGGGGAUCAGAGAAGGCUCCUGUAGAAAUCUGGUCGAAAAUAAAUUUAUUGGCAGCUUCAGUGUAGUGACCUCCAUCCCAAUUUACUCGAACUGAAGGGCGAUCACUACCAUCGUCUUCUGUAACUGUAUCUCCACAUCCAAUAGUACUACUGUAAUUGUACUUUCC
Molecule: unclassified non-coding RNA, 258 nt
Filed under: Hevea brasiliensis (rubber tree)
Lineage: Eukaryota; Viridiplantae; Streptophyta; Magnoliopsida; Malpighiales; Euphorbiaceae
Source: RNAcentral